GAGGGUAUAGCUUAGUGAUAGAGGACUUGCUUAGCAUUCAUGAGGUCCUGGGUUCCAUCCCCAGUACCUCCA
RNAcentral lists this transfer RNA (72 nucleotides) under Camelus bactrianus (Bactrian camel). It matches the Rfam family "tRNA". From Rfam's summary of the family: Transfer RNA (tRNA) molecules are approximately 80 nucleotides in length. Their secondary structure includes four short double-helical elements and three loops (D, anti-codon, and T loops). Lineage: Eukaryota; Metazoa; Chordata; Mammalia; Artiodactyla; Camelidae. The record is from Rfam by way of RNAcentral. RNAcentral also lists the same sequence under 2 other names.